UAACAAAGGGCAAGCUGUCUUAACAAGGACUACUGAUUGUACUGCAUGCCUAAUUGAAUUUUAUUUUUCUCCCCUUAACCAAAUUCAUAAAAUUUUAGUCCAAGGGGAGAACCUCAGACUCUUUUCUGAACCAGUGCAUCUUCAAGGAUUCUCAUUGUUCUUCUGGCUGUAGUAGGAGCAUUUUCUGAAGAAGAAACUGCUGAUCAAGGUGGAGGAGGAGAGAGCCUUGACAGCCUGGCCCAUGGCAGCAUGACACAAUCAUCUUUGUUCUUAAAAAAUGUCCCUGAGAUGUCACUGCUGAGGAGCACAGAGAUGGAAACAGAAAGUGAAUAUGGCUGACAACCAAAAUGAGUCUGCCCUAUAGAUCAUCCUGUACCAGAGAUCUACAGCAUAAUGGCCUGGAAGCAGUCUUUGUUUUGGAGCCAAGCCCAGCAAAGUCUCAAUUCCUUCCCCUUCAAUCGCCAUCUGGAUGAACAAGGCCAAGUCAUUGACCUUCUCUGGGCCUCAGUUUCCUCACCCAUAAACUGGAGCAAAGUCAUCUCCAAGACAGCAGGAACCAUGUUUACUCUUUAAUCAUUGUAUGCUCCCUAAAUAUUUGCUGAACAAGUGAACAAAAAACCUGGUGGUGGUGAAAUUAGACUCCUUCUUGGUGUCACCAGGAGGUCCAGUUAAACAUACCAAGACUUGAGGAAUUAUGUCCAAGGUUCCAGCAUUGAACAUGAAGAACGCAGGAUUUAUUGGCACGUCGUGAUAACCGUAAAGCCCACGCUUCUACUGCAGUGUUGAGUUUGCGUGCCAACAGGAAAGAAUUCUGCAUGGGAGUCAGAACAUUUGUAUUAAAGACCUGAUUUUACUGGGCAACAGAGCGAGACCUUGUCUCUACAAAAAAUAAACAAAACUAACCAGGCACAGUGGUGUGCACCUGUAGUCCCAGCUACUUGGGAGGCUGAGGCUAUUGGCAGGAGAUCUUCCCAGAAGAAAAAGAAUGGAGG
Molecule: long non-coding RNA, 992 nt
Filed under: Homo sapiens (human)
Lineage: Eukaryota; Metazoa; Chordata; Mammalia; Primates; Hominidae
Description: HSALNT0341427
Source: RNAcentral